Molecule: ribosomal RNA, 421 nt
Filed under: uncultured eukaryote
Lineage: Eukaryota
Description: SSU rRNA
Rfam family: Eukaryotic small subunit ribosomal RNA
Source: RNAcentral
CAAUAGCGUAUAUUGAAAUUGUUGCGGUUAAAAGCUCGUAGUUGGAUUUCUGCCGAGGACGACCGGUCCGCCCUCUGGGUGAGUAUCUGGCUUGGCCUGGGCAUCUUCUUGGAGAACGUAGCUGCACUUGACUGUGUGGUGCGGUAGCCAGGACCUUUACUUUGAGGAAAUUAGAGUGUUUCAAGCAGGCAUGCGCCUUGAAUACAUUAGCAUGGAAUAAUAAGAUAGGACCUCGGUUCUAUUUUGUUGGUUUCUAGAGCUGAGGUGAUGAUUAAUAGGGAUAGUUGGGGGCAUUCGUAUUUAACUGUCAGAUGUGAAAUUCUUGGAUUUGUUAAAGACGGACUACUGCGAAAGCAUUUGCCAAGGAUGUUUUCAUUGAUCAAGAACGAAAGUUAGGGGAUCGAAGAUGAUUAGAUACCGU